CAAUCAUGUGAUAUAUACGUAUGAUAUAUAAACCGGAAGUGAUAUCCUAUUUUCUACGAAUUUUAGAACUUACCUUAAUUAUCACUUUCGUUCUUCAUACAUUUAUACGUUAGUUUACUCUAAAAAGGCUUGUACUCAUUAUCAAUUAUACAUGAUGCAUUAAAAUGCAUAAAACAUUUAAAAUAAAUGCGUACCCGGUAAACAUAGAUCUACAUUAUUGUACGUAGUCUAAAGGAUAUUAUAAAUAAGCUGUGAGUUGUAAUACAAUGUUGGUACACUUUAUUUUUAUAAUCGUAUAAUAUUGUACAAAUUAUUACAGUAAACUAUAUAUUUCUGUAAUUA
This is a long non-coding RNA of Bombus terrestris (buff-tailed bumblebee), 342 nucleotides long. RefSeq lists it as uncharacterized. The record is from RefSeq and is a predicted model, not a curated record. The transcript is spliced from 2 exons. Lineage: Eukaryota; Metazoa; Arthropoda; Insecta; Hymenoptera; Apidae.